AAUAGUCCUGAAGUGUUUUUGACGAAACGUUCACAGGAAAUAGAGACGACAUUUUGGCAAAAUGUACAGCUGCUCCAACUCCAAGCCACAUGAUCAGAUGAAAUUGCCAAGUAGAAAUUGUAGGUUACAUGAUACAACACAAAUAACAAAAUUCACACACAUAUAAUUAACAUUUAGUAACAUUUAAGAAUCCAGACAGGAUUUUUAUAUUUUUAUGAAGAAACCUUCUGAAAAGAAAAAUACGCCGUAUGCGCUAUCUAGCGGACAUAAUUUUAGUCACCUAGUGACAGCCAACAUAUUCCUUAGCAUCCACGGACCACGGGCGACUGGACGGAACGUAUAGCUUUCGCCAGCUCAACGUCAUCCAACUAUCAAGAUUCAGAGAUAUCGAUCCCGCAAUUGGAACAACAUUACCCUCUAUAAAUGCAUCCACAGCUUCGGCGGAUGUGUUCACUCUGUGCCUAGAGACCAUUUUCAUCCGCUCCUCGUCGACAUCGAAUCCGCUCAAUGGCAAACACCUUCGCACUAUCUGGAGACGUUGGAGUGGAAAUCCCAAAGGAUUGACGGGGCCGCUCAAAGGAGGUGUCAUUCUCGAAACCCUGUCACAACGCUGGAAUUUCACGUAUGAAAUGGUCAGGGUGAGUGAAAAUGUGCUGGAGCCACCACCAAACGGAAGAGGACUUUACAAUUACCUGUGGGAAAAUCAAUGCGAUUUUUUGGUUCACGAAGUGGCGCUGACACCUCGGCGCCUUAAGAUGUCCGACUAUACAUUGCCUUGGGCAUACGACCAAUUUGCAUUCCUCAUUCCCAUCGCUGACGAAUCAGCCAACAUCAACGCCGUCGUCAAACCAUUUCAAUGG
Daphnia pulicaria is the source of this 860-nucleotide long non-coding RNA. RefSeq lists it as uncharacterized. NCBI's taxonomy places the organism in Eukaryota, Metazoa, Arthropoda, Branchiopoda, Diplostraca, Daphniidae. The transcript is spliced from 6 exons. The record is from RefSeq and is a predicted model, not a curated record.